This 262-nucleotide ribosomal RNA is filed under the name uncultured bacterium. Its description in RNAcentral is "partial 16S ribosomal RNA". It matches the Rfam family "Bacterial small subunit ribosomal RNA", at positions 335 to 615 of the family's 1533-position model. The record is from RNAcentral.
ACUCCUACGGGAGGCAGCAGUGGGGAAUCUUCGGCAAUGGGCGCAAGCCUGACCGAGCCAUGCCGCGUGAGUGAUGAAGGUUUUCGGAUUGUAAAGCUCUUUCGUCGGGGACGAUAAUGACGGUACCCGAAGAAGAAGCCCGGCUAACUUCGUGCCAGCAGCCGCGGUAAUACGAAGGGGCGUAGCGUUGUUCGGAAUUACUGGGCGUAAAGCGCGCGUAGGCGGAUCGUUAAGUCAGGGGUGAAAUCCCGGGGCUCAACCC